This is a long non-coding RNA of Hemiscyllium ocellatum (epaulette shark), 1363 nucleotides long. RefSeq lists it as uncharacterized. NCBI's taxonomy places the organism in Eukaryota, Metazoa, Chordata, Chondrichthyes, Orectolobiformes, Hemiscylliidae. The record is from RefSeq and is a predicted model, not a curated record. The transcript has 3 exons.
CUCAGGGCAUUGAGCACAGACUGAAUGACUCAGUGACGCUUGGAUCAGGUCAGAUCAAAUUCUCAAGCAAACAGAUGGCUGGGGAUAUUCAGUAGCAACGGUGAGGAGAGAGAGGAACAAUUCACAUUGCAAGGGACCCUUCCUCAAAACGGCCUGUUCUGAAGGAGCUUUCCCGCAGAAAUCAUUGGAUUGAAAGGUAUUCAGGAAGUUCCUGUCUCAGCCGAAUUCAUAACUCCUGUCUCGUCCAUAACCGCAUCAAAGCCAGUUGGUCAGCCAGAGAGAGAUGGAGAGGGAGAUCUGGAGCCUUCAGUAAAUCCUGCAGCCGCUUCUGGCAACAAAUGGCCACAAAACGAUCAAAGGUGAAAGUGACGGUGAACCAGACAGAGCAGUCAGUGGCUGAAUAAACCAGGAUGGCGUGGAUAUUACACACGCGGACGGAGUACAGGAAAUAAAACUGUUCCUUAUAAACAAUGGGAAUGUGUCUCAGGAUCAGAUCGAGGAUAAUGACCAGGAGAUCCGCCGCUGCCAUGGCCGCCAGGUAACGUCUGACACAUGGAGACAAUCCACAAUCUUUAUAAAGCAGGACGUAGAUGGUCACUACGUUAACUGUGAGGAAGGAAAACAAACCCAUUAUCCAUCAGCCUGGAGGCAAAGGGACCCGUUUGAUCGGGGACCCAGUGAGAUUUUCAAAUGUGUCCCUGUAUUCAGGGAUUUAUUAAAAUAAUUGGAGCUUGAAUAACAAAUGGGAAAGUCUGAAUUACUGACAAAAAUGUGACAUAAACCACAAACCCUCUCUCCCCAAACACACAGAGACACAUCCAUAAGGACAGAUGGUUUCUAGAACAUUCCCACAUACUCGAUCACUCGAGAGCAGACACAGAUCACUCUUUCCCAGUUCCUAAUAUGAAGGGUGGAAACAUUUCUGUCCUGAAGGAUUCUCUCCCAGUUUCCUGAAGACAAACGGAGUUUGGGAUUCCCGUAUUUUGGUAUAAAUUGUCAUUGAUCCUGUGUCGUGGAGAAAUGUAAACGCAGGGAAAAAAAAUCCCCCCUUUAACUGCCUGAGGGGCCUUCGGAACAGUGUCUCCUUCUCCCUGGAACGGGAUCUCUUCCCUCGGGAUCUAACCGUUUGUUCAAUUCACUGACGUCCGGCCGUUCACAAACAAACAACGUCAGGGACAGAACGUUCCGGGGAAUGUCAGUUAUAGAAUGUCAGAGAUGGAAACUUCCGAGAAACUCCGUGACCUGUCCAUCACCUUUCCCCCCUAUCCACCCCACCACCAUGAUGUACUGUGCACAGGCUACAUAUCCAUCCAGCACAGGGAGCUGUGCAGACCACAUCAUUGCAUUAUCCAUAAACGUCAAC